CUCCCCCUGGCGCCACAAGGGGAAAGCUGGCACAGAAGGUCACGUGGUGCGGUGCCGCCUUGCCUGUGUCUUCUCCGCGCCAGCUCGGGCGGGUCCCAGGCGGUGCCCCGGCGCCAGCCCUGGAUGUGUAAAAGUCCUCUUGAUGCCAGAUGGAGAUCUGCACCAGGAUGAAAGAUAGCUGGCAAAUGAGGGAACCCAAGCAAGACUGAGGCUGUGCAGAGAAAAAAUGCCAGAAGCAGGAGGUUAUGAGUGCAAACCUCAGCCCUUCAACUUCCCAGCGUUGCCAGGCCAGAUCCUGAGAUGCUGAGCACCCAGAUCUCCUGUUGAAGUCUACAGGAAUUGCAGAUCCUCAGUACUACUCCACAAACCGGAUUGCCCUGACUGGGCUAGAACACACAGGACGGCUAUGAGGAAGGAAGAUCCCCAUGCAGAAUUUCUCCCCCCAGUGUUCAGUGGGUGGUUUAUCUCUUUCUGGAGAAGGGCACAAGGCUAGUCCCCAAACCUCACAGCUCUAGUAGGAUUCAAAAGAGAGCAUGUACAAACUCUUGCUGGCUCAGUGCCUCUGUGUCCCCUUUCCCCCACUCUCUGGCUCAAACAGAGCUGUGCACCAGGGAUCCCCACCCCCACUCACAGCUGCCCCCCUGCUUUCACUGGCAGAUGUAGUUUAAACAUUUUUUGGCACAAUUUGGCCAUUUGUACUUCUAUACCUGCUUUCAUCUCAAACAACUUUACAGACAAUUAAUGUAUCAUCUUGUGAGGUAGGUAGGGAUAAUUGUAAUGCAACCCAUUUUGCAGUUGGGGAAACCAAGGCAUAGAGACAUUAAAGACAUGAGGAUUUGAUGGUGGGACAGAAACCUUCCCCAGAGGCCAAUCAUAACAGUGACCACCAUUGACUCACUUUACAGGCAACCCCACACAGCUGCUGUGACUUCCCCAUAUGAGGCGUAUUUGACCACCUUUGAUCCCCAUAGUUAAGAGAUCCACGGACCUCAUCUCUACAGCAUCUCUGAAAUCCCAUUUGUGCUAGGGUGCAUGACUCUCUAGCAUGGCUAUGAUGCCUGGGAGGCAGGGGUUUCAGAAUCCUUGCACAUGAUUCUCACCGUUUCCUCCUGACAUACAGCAGAACUCACUAAUGCCAUUGCAUCCAAGGCCUUCUGAACCAAGAGGGUAGGACUGGGGAUGGAUUUGCCUCUAAGUGAUUUGCCCAAGGAUAUACAGGGAGACAGUGGCAGAGCUGAGAACACAUUCCUAACUCCCAGUCCUCUGCAAUAAGCCCUGAACAAUACUGCCUCCUUUCUUUAAAAAAGCAGAGGAACAUAAACACAUUAGCAAACCAAACUGCAGCUACAGCCAUAUAUGGCCAAAAAAGGAGCAACUAUGGGAUUAUUAUUUAUUGAAGGCGUUUUCCUGUGAGUAUGGACCAUUUAGAUCUAGCCAGUCCAGGAGCCUCAGGAGUCACAUCUUCUGCUUUAGAGCUGUGCCGAUACUUCACUGAGGCUAAAAAAGCUGCAUGGGGUUUUGACGCAGCACUGGGAGAGGCGGAGCUUUGAAGCUUGAGACUGGAGCUUGUGCAGCAUAGGGCUGAAACAAUUUGUUUAAUUAAAACAUUCUGCCAGUCAGAACAUCUGAGUCGCUUGCUUCAGACCCUGGGUGGCCGACCACCAGAAAAUGUGGAGAAAGACACAGCCUCCCAGACUCUCCUCUGGCCCUCUUUUAUCUAUCUCAAACACUGCCGUAAAAAUCCAUCAGUGUCUACAACUGCUCCAGUCAU
Long non-coding RNA from Mauremys reevesii (Reeves's turtle), 1771 nucleotides. RefSeq lists it as uncharacterized. The record is from RefSeq and is a predicted model, not a curated record. NCBI's taxonomy places the organism in Eukaryota, Metazoa, Chordata, Testudines, Geoemydidae. The transcript has 4 exons.